GACGAACGCUGGCGGCGUGCCUAACACAUGCAAGUCGAACGGAAAGGCCCUGCUUUUGUGGGGUGCUCGAGAGGCGAACGGGUGAGUAACACGUGAGUAACCUGCCCUUGACUUAGGGAUAAAUUCUGGAAAAUGGGGCUCAAACCUGAUAGAAGCUCCUGCUGCAUGGUGGUGAAUGGAAAGUUUCGGCGGUUGGGGCUGGACUCGCGGCUUAUCAGCUUGUUGGUGGGGUAGUGGCUUACCAAGGCUUUGACGGGUAGCCGGCCUGAGAGGGGGACCGGCCACAUUGGGACUGAGAUACGGCGCAGACGCGUACGGGAGGCAGCAGUAGGGAAUAUUGCACAAUGGGGGGAAGCCUGAUGCAGCAACGCCGCGUUCGGGAUGACGGCCUUCUGGUUGUAAACCACUGUCGCCUGUAACGAGGCGUGAGUGACGGUAACGGGUAAAGAAGCACCGGCUAACUACGUG
This 468-nucleotide ribosomal RNA is filed under the name uncultured bacterium. RNAcentral describes it as "partial 16S ribosomal RNA". It matches the Rfam family "Bacterial small subunit ribosomal RNA", at positions 28 to 507 of the family's 1533-position model. The record is from RNAcentral.